GCUGGCGGCAGGCCUAACACAUGCAAGUCGAGCGGUAGAGAGAAGCUUGCUUCUCUUGAGAGCGGCGGACGGGUGAGUAAUGCCUAGGAAUCUGCCUGGUAGUGGGGGAUAACGUUCGGAAACGGACGCUAAUACCGCAUACGUCCUACGGGAGAAAGCAGGGGACCUUCGGGCCUUGCGCUAUCAGAUGAGCCUAGGUCGGAUUAGCUAGUUGGUGAGGUAAUGGCUCACCAAGGCGACGAUCCGUAACUGGUCUGAGAGGAUGAUCAGUCACACUGGAACUGAGACACGGUCCAGACUCCUACGGGAGGCAGCAGUGGGGAAUAUUGGACAAUGGGCGAAAGCCUGAUCCAGCCAUGCCGCGUGUGUGAAGAAGGUCUUCGGAUUGUAAAGCACUUUAAGUUGGGAGGAAGGGUUGUAGAUUAAUACUCUGCAAUUUUGACGUUACCGACAGAAUAAGCACCGGCUAACUCUGUGCCAGCAGCCGCGGUAAUACAGAGGGUGCAAGCGUUAAUCGGAAUUACUGGGCGUAAAGCGCGCGUAGGUGGUUUGUUAAGUUGGAUGUGAAAUCCCCGGGCUCAACCUGGGAACUGCAUUCAAAACUGACUGACUAGAGUAUGGUAGAGGGUGGUGGAAUUUCCUGUGUAGCGGUGAAAUGCGUAGAUAUAGGAAGGAACACCAGUGGCGAAGGCGACCACCUGGACUAAUACUGACACUGAGGUGCGAAAGCGU
RNAcentral lists this ribosomal RNA (732 nucleotides) under uncultured bacterium. RNAcentral's name for it is "bacterial SSU rRNA". It matches the Rfam family "Bacterial small subunit ribosomal RNA", at positions 35 to 762 of the family's 1533-position model. The record is from RNAcentral.